GUGAUAGAUGAACUACUAGAUGAAUUACAUGGUGCACAGUGGUUUACAAAGCUGGAUCUCAGGGCUGGUUACCAUCAAAUAAGGCUAGCUCCUGGUAAAGAAUAUAAAACAGCAUUCCAAAUCCAUCAUGGGCAUUUUGAAUUUCUAGUUGUGGGUUUUGGUUUGACAGGAGCUCCAAACACUUUUCAAGGGGCCAUAAAUGUAUCUCUGUCUGAACAACCUGAUAUGCUCAGAAAUUUUGCGAUAGCCUUCUUUGAUGACAUCCUUGUUUUCAGCAAGACCUUGCAACAACAUAUAGAGCAUGUCAGAAGAGUUUUGCAAGUUUUGAGAAGGGACAAAUGGUAUGUGAAACUUUCCAAGUGUGAAUUUGCUUCU
RNAcentral lists this ribosomal RNA (375 nucleotides) under Triticum aestivum (bread wheat). RNAcentral describes it as "partial small subunit ribosomal RNA". The record is from RNAcentral. Lineage: Eukaryota; Viridiplantae; Streptophyta; Magnoliopsida; Poales; Poaceae.